RNAcentral lists this ribosomal RNA (484 nucleotides) under uncultured bacterium. RNAcentral describes it as "partial 16S ribosomal RNA". It matches the Rfam family "Bacterial small subunit ribosomal RNA", at positions 30 to 507 of the family's 1533-position model. The record is from RNAcentral.
AUUGAACGCUGGCGGAAUGCUUUACACAUGCAAGUCGAACGGCAGCACGGGGGCAGCCCUGGUGGCGAGUGGCGAACGGGUGAGUAAUACAUCGGAACGUGCCCGGUCGUGGGGGAUAACGUAGCGAAAGUUACGCUAAUACCGCAUACGAUCUGAGGAUGAAAGCGGGGGACCUUCGGGCCUCGCGCGAUCGGAGCGGCCGAUGUCAGAUUAGGUAGUUGGUGGGGUAAAGGCCUACCAAGCCGACGAUCUGUAGCUGGUCUGAGAGGACGACCAGCCACACUGGGACUGGAACACGGCCCAGACUCCUACGGGAGGCAGCAGUGGGGAAUUUUGGACAAUGGGCGCAAGCCUGAUCCAGCCAUUCCGCGUGCAGGACGAAGGCCUUCGGGUUGUAAACUGCUUUUGUACGGAACGAAAAGGCUCUGGCUAAUACCUGGGGCUCAUGACGGUACCGUAAGAAUAAGCACCGGCUAACUACGUG